RNAcentral lists this unclassified non-coding RNA (216 nucleotides) under Hevea brasiliensis (rubber tree). Lineage: Eukaryota; Viridiplantae; Streptophyta; Magnoliopsida; Malpighiales; Euphorbiaceae. The record is from RNAcentral.
AUCCUAGAUUAUUUGAUCAACGUGAAUGGGGAAGCAUUUGGUAAACCUUCACAGCUGUCUCUUUUCCUAGUGUUCUACAGUGAAGGGCACAUUUCUGAAUAUUUGCUUUUGUUCUUGAGUUUAGGUCUUCUUUUGAUAAUUUGCUUAGUUUAAGGUUUUUGUACUGUCUGGAUAUUUUAGGUCUAGAAGUGCUGAAUUUUCCUGCUUAAGCAAAGU